Molecule: long non-coding RNA, 765 nt
Organism: Microtus oregoni (creeping vole)
Lineage: Eukaryota; Metazoa; Chordata; Mammalia; Rodentia; Cricetidae
Exons: 3
Source: RefSeq, a predicted model, not a curated record
AUCUGGCUGAGAAGCCUCUUCAGUGAGAUCCAAAGGCCUCUGGGCUGUGACUCGGCAAAGUUCAAGCUAGGGAGUUCCUGUCAGGCUCUCAUGGGAAACCUUACUUGUCUGGAAAUGAAGGACUCUGGCCAAGGCUAUACUCUGGUAGGGGACCUGAAGGCAACGGAAAAAGGCGGUCAUCCCACGGUAGUCUACAUGGGUAAAAGACCAUUUUUCUCCCUUCUGUGAGCCAUCUCACUCUCAAUGUGUGGUACAAGCAGCAGCAGCGGCACAUCCAAGACUACACAUCUUCAUGUGACAUGGGAAAAACGCAGCACGGAGAAAAAGAGACCACACGAAGUAAACAGCAUAAAGCACCUGCAGUGGGAGAGAGAAGCUGGAGGGUCAGCCAUGGGACACUCAUCCAUGCAGAAAGCUUCCCCAGGAAUUCCAACUGACUGCUUCAACUUCUUCAGUGGAUUCUGCGGCUAUUGUGAGGCACCAAUCUGAUGAUGUCAUUUGUUGCUUGCUAGAUUUGUUCUUUUACUCAUAGGACUCCGCAAACGGGACACUGUUCUUUUCAGGACUCUCUCUACUGGGGACUUUACCUGGCUGCCUUAAAGGGGCUUCUCCAGUUGAUUUGGGCUACAUGUGCUAAGUCGGAUUGGAUAAUGUUUUAUCUAACUGCUACUUAUCGUUUUUCUUUGGCUUGCUAUUAUAUUUGCUGACUCAAAACACAGAUAUGGCUUUAGAGCUCAUUUUUCAGCUCGUACAGCACAAAGCAAC